RNAcentral lists this ribosomal RNA (253 nucleotides) under uncultured bacterium. RNAcentral's name for it is "partial 16S ribosomal RNA". It matches the Rfam family "Bacterial small subunit ribosomal RNA", at positions 524 to 776 of the family's 1533-position model. The record is from RNAcentral.
UACGGGGGGGGCAAGCGUUGUUCGGAAUUACUGGGCGUAAAGGGCUCGUAGGUGGCCAACUAAGUCAGACGUGAAAUCCCUCGGCUUAACCGGGGAACUGCGUCUGAUACUGGAUGGCUUGAGUUUGGGAGAGGGACGCGGAAUUCCAGGUGUAGCGGUGAAAUGCGUAGAUAUCUGGAGGAACACCGGUGGCGAAGGCAGCCCCAUGGGCUAACACUGACGCUCAUGCACGAAAGCGUGGGGAGCAAACAGG